Molecule: transfer RNA, 82 nt
Filed under: Methanobacteriota archaeon
Lineage: Archaea; Methanobacteriati; Methanobacteriota
Also listed under: 3 other names
Description: Euryarchaeota archaeon tRNA-Ser
Rfam family: tRNA
About the family: Transfer RNA (tRNA) molecules are approximately 80 nucleotides in length.
Source: RNAcentral
GCGGAGAUCGCAUAGUCUGGUAUUGCGCCGGCCUUGAAAGCCGGUGGUGUAAGCCUCGGGAGUUCGAAUCUCUCUCUCCGCG